CAUUUCUGAAGAUGAUCAGAUUCUUCAUAUUCUUGGAGGAUUGGGCCCAGAUUACAACCCCGUGGUGGUUUCUAUUUCAUCCAGAAUAGAGCCAUGGACAGUCCGAGAAGUUUCCUCCCUAUUAUUGAGCUUUGAAU
Molecule: small nucleolar RNA, 137 nt
Organism: Salvia hispanica
Lineage: Eukaryota; Viridiplantae; Streptophyta; Magnoliopsida; Lamiales; Lamiaceae
Product: small nucleolar RNA Z247
Source: RefSeq, a predicted model, not a curated record